This 520-nucleotide ribosomal RNA is filed under the name uncultured bacterium. RNAcentral's name for it is "bacterial SSU rRNA". It matches the Rfam family "Bacterial small subunit ribosomal RNA", at positions 9 to 518 of the family's 1533-position model. The record is from RNAcentral.
AGGUUCGAUUCUGGCUCAGGAUGAACGCUGGCGGCGUGCUUAACACAUGCAAGUCGAGGGGUAACAUGAUUGGAGCUUGCUCCGAUUGAUGACGACCGGCGCACGGGUGCGUAACGCGUAUCCAACCUUCCCCCUACCAGGGAAUAGCCCGUUGAAAGACGAAUUAAUGCCCUAUGUUGUGUGAUAAUGGCAUCAGAGUUACACGAAAGACUUUGUCGGUAUGGGAUAGGGAUGCGUACGAUUAGCUAGUCGGCGGGGUAACGGCCCACCGAGGCUACGAUCGUUAGGGUUCUGAGAGGAAGGUCCCCCACGCUGGUACUGAGACACGGACCAGACUCCUACGGGAGGCAGCAGUGAGGAAUAUUGGUCAAUGGUCGGAAGACUGAACCAGCCAAGUAGCGUGCAGGACGACUGCCCUAUGGGUUGUAAACUGCUUUUAUGCGGGGAUAAAGUGGGGAACGUGUUCCCUUUUGCAGGUACCGCAUGAAUAAGGACCGGCUAAUUCCGUGCCAGCAGCCGC